AUUCCGGUUGAUCCUGCCGGAGGCCAUUGCUAUCGGAGUCCGAUUUAGCCAUGCUAGUCGUGCGAGUUCAGACUCGCGGCACCGAGCUCAGUAACACGUGGCCAAACUACCCUACAGAGACGGAUACCCUCGGGAAACUGAGGUUAACCCGUCAUACCGAUCUCAGGCUUGAAUCGCAGAGAUCACAAAACGCCCCGGCGCUGUAGGAUGUGGCUGCGGUUGAUUAGGUAGACGGUGGGGUAACGGCCCACCGUGCCCAUAAUCAGUACAGGUUGUGAGAGCAAGAACCUGGAGACGGAAUCUGAGACAAGAUUCCGGGCCCUACGGGGCGCAGCAGGCGCGAAACCUUUACACUGCACGCACGUGCGAUAAGGGGACUCCGAGUGCGAGGGCAUAUCGUCCUCGCUUUCGUGUACCGUAGGGUGGUACACCAACAAGGGCUGGGCAAGACCGGUGCCAGCCGCCGCGGUAAUACCGGCAGCCCGAGUGAUGGCCGAUCUUAUUGGGCCUAAAGCGUCCGUAGCCU
RNAcentral lists this ribosomal RNA (526 nucleotides) under uncultured haloarchaeon. RNAcentral describes it as "bacterial SSU rRNA". It matches the Rfam family "Archaeal small subunit ribosomal RNA", at positions 1 to 527 of the family's 1478-position model. Lineage: Archaea; Methanobacteriati; Methanobacteriota; Halobacteria; Halobacteriales; Halobacteriaceae. The record is from RNAcentral.